This 5912-nucleotide long non-coding RNA is filed under the name Triticum aestivum (bread wheat). RNAcentral's name for it is "long non-coding RNA (TAES_LNC011448)". The record is from RNAcentral. Lineage: Eukaryota; Viridiplantae; Streptophyta; Magnoliopsida; Poales; Poaceae.
CGAUGUGGGACGUCAUUAGAUUCGGCCUCCCUCCGCAUCGCAUCACCAGUUGUCUCUGCCCCCGCCAAUGGCUCAUACGUUCGCCUCAGGUAUAUCUAUCUGGUUAAUUUUCGCACACUGCAUCUGCUAUUUCAUCUUCCACACAUAGCGUCCUCAGAUUUUUGCUAGCUUUAUGAAUCUGAUUGAUUCCCAACUCAAUUGCUAACUAGUGUCGAUUUCAAGCAAGCUUGCAGUUCAAUCUAACCAUAUUAUGUGAUCUAAUGUGCUGUCCAUAAUGCUAGCUUCAUCCAAGAUCCUCCAAACUCGGCCGAAGGAACAGCCCAGGAUAACUUCUGUAUCUAAAUAGGGGCACCCCACUAUCUGAUUUUCCUGAAUCCUCAUGAAGCCACGUCAUCCGAAUUCUCAUAGCCGUUGAUGCAGUAUAGUUCAACAUCCUGCAGCCGUCUGAUCAUGUUUGGAUGCAAUUUACCGAGACUUGCCACCGCUAAGUGGAAAAUAACGAUUGGUCGAUUUACCACAGCGCCCCUCUUAUUCUUCGAUCGCACUGUCCGCUCAAGUUUUCGUACUGGGCUCAUAUCAAAAAGUUUUCGUACUAGGCUAGAGCUGGACCUGUCGCUUCUGGGCUGGCUCUGGAAGCCAACAUAUGGUACAUGGGCUGUAGCCCAUGCGUGCUAGGUUCCCAUGAGUACGGUCAUCUUCCCCACGUUGCCAAUCUCAUCCCCGUCGUUAUCUCUUCCGCCACCACAAAUAUAGCUAAAAAUGCAGAUGAAACUGCAGCAUUAAUCAACCACAUUACCAUCCCUCCGUUACCCUAGAACAGCUGAAGAAUCGCUAGAUUUAACUGAGCAAACAACGCCUUUGUGUUUCAGUGCUACAAAUCCUCCUCCAAGACCGUCGAUUAAUGGGUCACAGGUCGGGCCGCGGUACAAUCGCCGAGCACCCAGAUCUUCGAGGAAGACAUUGCCGAGACAACCUGCGCCCGUCGUUGCUCUCCUCCAGACCUCCUCUGCCACGCCCACCAGUCCGCCUCACCCCCAAUUUUUUUCUGAUUAAUGGGAGGUUUGCUGCUGGUCCGUCGUGCCGACCAACUGCCCCUGCUCUCCUUCGAACCUCCUCCGCCAUGAUUGCCACUACGUAUUGCCCCUUAAUGUUUCUAUGAGUGUUGGGACGCGGGCUGGACAGCCGAUCCUUGGCCGGAGAUCCUAGAUCGUCAAGCAAGGCACAGUCGUUGAGUCCUUUGCAUGUCGUUGCUCCGCUCCGAAGCUGUCGGGGGCAGCGAGAAGCCCGACUAAAUCAUCAAAGGCGAAUUCCAUAGGGACUUAAGAGAGUCCACCUUUGGGACGGCCACAUCAGCUUAUAAGGUGAGCAUCCCUGCGCUUACGUUCAUCUAUGAGAUGAUGAAUAACACUCUUUGACAUGCUUCUGUGUGGCCUAUCGUUUAGAUUCGGCCUUUGGAGUUACUUCCCACUACCCACACGGCAGUCUGCACCAUCUGAUGCUACCACGUUGCACGCCUCAAUACUCCCCGGUCCAGGUGCGUGCAUGCACUUCACCAGGUUACCUUUUAAGGGCAUCUCCGGCCGUUAAACCGCGCACUGGGGGCGUGAUGCCCCCAGUCGCGGCGCCCACGGUUAGUCAAAAAAGUCAAAUACGGCGCAAAAACGACUCAAAUUUAACGCAAACAUUGGCGAGUUCAUUCAAACUUAAACAUAUUUUACAAAAAAGAAAAAAAACUACCGCGGGCUACCCCCGCCGUCUCCCUCGCCGCCUGCCCACGCGGUUCUACAUGCCGAGGAGGCGGUAGAACCGCGUGUAGUUGUCGUCAUCGUCGUCGUCGUCGCCGCCGCCUCCGCCGUCCUUGCUGCAUCCCUCCCCCGGUUGGAGCGGCGGGUUGGACGGUCCGGGGGCGUCGUCGUCGUCGUCGCUGUCGAGGACCACGACGCUGUGCUCGUCCUCACGCCCACGCUUGCGGGCGGCGAGCUCCUCCAGGGCCCGGCGCUGUCGGACCAUCUCGUCGCGGAGGUAGUCGUCCCGCGCCCACCGCAUGGCGUCCUCGUCGGAGAAGCCGCAUCGGGCUAUCUCCUCGUACUCCGCGGGGAGGACGGGCUCCGGCUUGGCCUCGGCGAGGACGAAGCGGCCGGUUGGUGAAGAGGCGUUGGCGCCGCCGGAGCUGCGGGUGCGCGCGCUGACCGGCGUGUCCUGGGGCUCCGGCUUGACAGGGCGGAGGCAGGGCGAGCCGCCGGACGAGGAGGAAGACCCCCCGGUCUCCAUGCGCCUCGGGGUCCAGGAGCUUCCCCGGCGGCGUGAGAAGGAAGGGGGAGCGGGGUACUCCAGGCGCGGCGUGUUGCCGCCCUCGAUGUACUCGAGGACGGCCUCCAACGUGCGCCCGGGCACACCCAACCACAGACGCCGGCCGGCGGCGUUGAGCCUGCCGGAGGGCACGACGCCGUUGGUGGCCUCGAGCUGCUCGGACUGACGGCGGCGGAAGUAAGGUUCCCAGAGCGGGCUGUCGGGGGCGUACCGUGGCGCCUCCCUCGCCGCACGCGGCAGGUUCGAGCGGAUGCGUGCGAUCUCCGCACGCCGCGCCGCGCCGGUCGGUACCGGGUGCACCGGCACGCCGCCCGCGCUGAUCCUCCACGUCCCGGGCACCCGCAUGUCCGGCGGGACCGGGUACUCGGCCUCGUAAAGGAGGCGAGCCUCGUCUUCGUGAAGAUGGCGGCGGCCGAAGCCGUUCGCCGCCGCGCCGUCGCCUGGGAAGCGCUCGGCCAUGGGUGUGAACUGGGGACGGCGAAAGAGAGGAGAGGAGAGGGAGGAAACGACGGCGGCGGGAGAGUGUGAGUCGCCGAGUGCGCCGGGGCGCUUCAUAUAUAGGCCAAGGCGCGCGUGUCACCGUGUGUACGCGUGGCGGGCGAGGGAGGGCGAGGGACGCGCGUCGUCCGGUCUUCACUGCGCUGCCCGUGAGGCAUCAAUGGUGCAGGCUGACCGGCGCGGCAGCGCGGCAGCUUUGGCAUUGAUUCGCCGCGGGAAACGAGGCGAUGAGGACGACGAAGGGCCGAGAAGAGAGCCGUGUCGCUGACGCAGCGGGCCCGCGGCUUUUUCGCGCCAAAACAGUUCGCCCGGCGCCCCCGGGCGCCCCCCAGCGCGCCGGGUUCGGGCUGGGUCCACCGGCGCUGUUUUCGGCCCAAGCCGGCGAAAAUCGGGCUCCUGGGGGCGCGACUUGGCCGUUUUUUUAGCGCCGGCGCGAAAAAAACGUCUGGGGAGGCCUUCCUGGGGGCGCGGCUGGAGAUUCCCUAACUUGGAGUAUAUAUGUUCUUAGAUACAUGUACUCUUCUCAAUAGGUCAUUAUAUACCAACUGAAAUUUUAAUGGAUGCUAAAUUAUUAUCGCGCACAUCUAUGUUGUGACCUUUUCUCUAUGUGAUUUUGAUUUCUUUGCUCACUUCAUGCAUUGGCACAAUGCACCCUGUUUUUCCCUGCAGUUUUUUCUUACUGUUAUUUGUUCAUAGCGGAGUGUGGCAAAAAUAUCAAUACAUACACUGUUUUGUUGCUCAGAUCAAGAAGCUGAGGUCAGUGUUUUGAAUUAAAAAUAAAUUGUUUCAUCUUUAUAUUGAGGUUUAAGUUUAUUGUUUGCACCUUAUAAUACUUAAAUAUGCUAUUGGUUGUUGAAUAUAAGAUUAGUUUGCAUCCAUGAAGAGGGCAUAUUUCACAAGCAGACAUAAUUAACAUUUAUGGAAAAAGUCAUUUAUCAUGUCUUUUGUCGCAAAGGUGACCCAUUCAUUAUUUGUUUGUGAGACUCCAUAUUUCAGGUGAGAAUUUUGUUUCCCACUAAUUUGUUGGACUGCUCAAUGGACAUAUGGAGACUUUGUUCCACUAUUAUUUUGGAAGAUGCUCUAUGGAAUUUUAGUGUUCAGUGCAACCUCUCAAUGUUUUAGUAUAUAGUGUUUCACUUAGUUUUGUUAUACCACUUUUACAUAAAAUAUAUUAUUGUUGGUCCACUUUUUUUGUAAUAUGAUAGUUGUAAAUGUAAACAUAGCCAUUUUGUGGUUAAUAGUUACAAAUUAAUUGUGGUGAUCGGUUGUAUUAAUUCCAAAAUUCUAAUUGGAAAGUUUGCUCUCUAAUAUGUAAUGUUUUUUUCUCCCAGUAAUGAGGAUGAUUUUCAUAUAGACUGCUAGGGAUCAAGACAAAUUGUAACAUUGAGCCAAAUUUUAUGAGUAUUCGAACCACCUUUUGAUCUAGAUGCUUCAGUGUUAUUUCCUUUAUAUUAGAGACUUUACACAUGAGAAUCAUUUUGCGCCACGACAAUCCACCGGCCAACUAGCAAUUUUUUUAAAUAUUCAUUCCAUGUAACUACUUUUUCUAGACCUUUCUGCGUGUAAUUCUAUAAAUAGGUAUAUUUAUAUUCCUUUCCGCAGCAACGCGCGGGGUAUCACCUAGUUUAAUGAAUUACUGUCCACCAGUUCCCCUCCAAUGAGAUGGCUGAAUUCUUGUAGGUAUGCCACCUCGUCUCCUUAAUAACCACCAGUUACGUAUUCACCAGGUACUAGUAAGUAUAGUACGUGGACACAAAUUUAUGGUGUAGUCCCCAGCUAGUCUGUCUGAUUUAUUUUUGUGUCUCAAAUCCUAGCUCGUCACACAGUGCACACCAAUCUGAUUGAUUUCUCAAUGCUAUGUGCCAUGUGUUGAAAUAGGUUUGAUUCUCCCAGCUAUUCUAACAGUACUGCCCACGAGAGAAUUCUCAGCUACUCUCAUUGAUUUCUAAAUCUAUUUUGGCCCAGUUUAGCAUAUUUCAAGUAGUAGCUUUGGAUCAUCAUUCAGAGAUGAUUCGUUAUAGAACUACCUAGUUUGCAGUAACAACACUACAUUAUACAUGAUAAUCAUACCAUUGAUACAAGUGCAGGUUAUUGGAGCAUGGGUUGUUAUCUCCAGAGACAGCAAAGAAAGCUUAUGACAAGAUAACAUAAUAAAUCACACAGUGUGGAGUAUGGUGCAAAUGCAAAGGGAAGAGUCGAUUACAAUGAAGACGAGGAUGACGGUAAUGACUUUAUCAAUAAACUCAACAAUGAUCUUAGAUAUCUAAUUAAGAUUUAUUUUCAGCUGACUUGCAAAACCAAUGAAUCUGUUGUUCUCACUAUAUAUGUGUGUAUUGGAGUUCAAGCAAAAAAUAAACAAAUAUCUUUUUGUCAUGAUUGUGACCAUAUUAUUUCCAUAUACAUCUUGAUAAUGCUCUUGGUUGGUCUUUAGGGGCCCCAAGUAUGGUCAUCGAGGCAGAGUAAUGCUUGUUUUUGAAGAAAAUGGAUUGUUAAAAAAUUGGAGUCCUAUUUGACAAGCACAUCUCUGAUGGUAAUGAUCUUGGUUUGUGUCAGGAAGAUCUGACUUCUAUUCUGGUAAGCUUAUAAGGUGAUACCUCGGAGGCACUUAAUUUGUUUGUCACUCACUUGAUAUGGUUUUCUUAUCAGCAUAGUUAAAAUAACAUGGUGAAUAUUAUAAAGUAGUGUAUUGUAAAAUGUAAAAUUUUAGGUAAUAUUUACAUCAGCUACAGUUAAGGAGAACAGUUAAUACUAAAUUGUGACUCAUGCCUACCAAUAUGUUUACGUCUUUGCUGCAAAUUCUACCCCUAUUAUUGUGACAGGAUGAUAUGCAAGUCAUAUUUCAAGAAGUUAGGAUGGACAAAUAAGGACCACGAAGACUCUAGCUGCCUUCAAGAAGUCAGGAUACGAGGCCUUCAGCAAAUGUACCCUCAAUAAAGAGGAGAGCUAUACAAUUAUGUUCGGGGGUCAAGACUCAAGAAAACACUCAUUUGUUAAUUUAUUUCUCUAUUGAUGCUACAUGUUGCAUCAGGAUGCUAUGUGGAAUGUGUACUAUGAAUCGUGAUAUGGAAUUAGCAUUGAUGUUUACUGAAAAUAUAUUCUGUUGG